This 460-nucleotide ribosomal RNA is filed under the name uncultured bacterium. RNAcentral describes it as "partial 16S ribosomal RNA". It matches the Rfam family "Bacterial small subunit ribosomal RNA", at positions 338 to 795 of the family's 1533-position model. The record is from RNAcentral.
CCUACGGGAGGCAGCAGUGAGGAAUAUUGGUCAAUGGACGAGAGUCUGAACCAGCCAAGUAGCGUGAAGGAUGACUGCCCUAUGGGUUGUAAACUUCUUUUAUAUGGGAAUAAAAUGUUCCCCGUGUGGGAUUUUGUAUGUACCAUAUGAAUAAGGAUCGGCUAACUCCGUGCCAGCAGCCGCGGUAAUACGGAGGAUCCGAGCGUUAUCCGGAUUUAUUGGGUUUAAAGGGAGCGUAGGUGGGUUGUUAAGUCAGUUGGGAAAGUUUGCGGGCCAACCGUAAAAGUGCAGUUGAAACUGGCAGUCUUGAGUACAGUAGAGGUGGGCGGAAUUCGUGGUGUAGCGGUGAAAUGCUUAGAUAUCACGCAGAACUCCGAUUGCGAAGGCAGCUCACUGGACUGCAACUGACACUGAGGCUCGAAAGUGUGGGUAUCAAACAGGAUUAGAUACCCCGGUAGUC